Molecule: ribosomal RNA, 534 nt
Filed under: Sungouiella intermedia
Lineage: Eukaryota; Fungi; Ascomycota; Pichiomycetes; Serinales; Metschnikowiaceae
Description: eukaryotic LSU rRNA
Rfam family: Eukaryotic large subunit ribosomal RNA
Source: RNAcentral
ACUCGGUAUGCCUCAGUACGGCGAGUGAGCGGCAAAAGCUCAAAUUUGAAAUCCUUCGGGAGUUGUAAUUUGUAGGUUGGGAGACCCCGCGGCUAGUGGCACCAAGUCCCUUGGAACAGGGCGCCUUAGAGGGUGAGAGCCCCGUAGGUACCACAAUACCGUCUUGUGUCUCCUCUCCAAAGAGUCGAGUUGUUUGGGAAUGCAGCUCAAAGUGGGUGGUAAAUUCCAUCUAAAGCUAAAUACCGGCGAGAGACCGAUAGCGAACAAGUACAGUGAUGGAAAGAUGAAAAGCACUUUGAAAAGAGAGUGAAACAGUACGUGAAAUUGUUGAAAGGGAAGGGCUUGCAAGCAGACACGGCCUUCGUGCCGGGCCAGCAUCGGUUGCUAGGGGUGGAUAAGGAACAAGGAAUGUAGCUCCUCGGAGUAUUAUAGCCUUGCGCGAUACACCCACUGGCGACCGAGGCCUGCGGUAUUCCUACCUAGGAUGCUGGCGUAAUGGUUGCAAGCCCCCCCGUCUUAACACACCCGAAACAA